UGGUUAGAGUGUAGAGGAGGUAGGUAUCCUAGUGGUUAGAGUGUAGAGGAAGCAGGUAACCUAGUGGUUAGAGUGUAGAGGAGGCAGGUAGCCUAGUGGUUAGAGUGUAGAGGAAGCAGGUAGCCUAGUGGUUAGAGUGUAGAGGAGGCAGGUAGCCUAGUGGUUAGAGUGUAGAGGAGGUAGGUAUCCUAGUGGUUAGAGUGUAGAGGAAGCAGGUAACCUAGUGGUUAGAGUGUAGAGGAGGCAGGUAGCCUAGUGGUUAGAGUGUAGAGGAAGCAGGUAGCCUAGUGGUUAGAGUGUAGAGGAGGCAGGUAGCCUAGUGGUUAGAGUGUAGAGGAGGCAGGUAGCCUCGUGGUUAGAGUAUAGAGGAGGCAGGUAGCCUCGUGGUUAGAGUGUAGAGGAGGCAGGUAGCCUAGUGGUUAGAGUGUAGAGGAGGCAGGUAGCCUAGUGGUUAGAGUAUAGAGGAGGCAGGUAGCCUAGUGGUUAGAGCAGGUAGCCUAGUGGUUAAAGCAGGUAGCCUAGUGGUUAGAGCAGGUAGCCUAGUGGUUAAAGCAGGUAGCCUAGUGGUUAGAGGGGCGGCAGGUAGCCUAGUGGUUAGAGUCAGGUAUGUCACGAACCUGCUCAAAGCCCGUAAAAAAAGGGAGACAACGUGGAGAGGAGUAACAAAAGAUAUAUUACUAACUAAAGCAACUAAGUAUAAUAUCCAAUGGUGUGUGUAAUCAGUAAUCAGUAGUGUAAGUGAGUGUUUUGCAUGAAUGCAUGUGAUAAUGCAGGGUGUUAAAAGGUGCCAAAGCAAACAAACAAAAGGCCACCAAGAACCACAACACAAUCUACAAAAGGUGUCUGCAUGGAGAGAGUCUCUUCCAUGAAUGUGGAAGAGGUCUAUUUAUCCUGGGAGACACCUGGCCCAGGUGUUUCCCAUGUAGCUGACGACCCUCCCAACUCCGGUUAGAGCAGGUAGCCUAGUGGUUAGAGCAGGUAGCCAAGUGGUUAGAGGGGCGGCAGGUAGCCUAGUGGUUAGAGCAGGUAGCCAAGUGGUUAGAGGGGCGGCAGGUAGCCUAGUGGUUAGAGCAGGUAGCCUAGUGGUUAGAGCAGGUAGCCUAGUGGUUAGAGCAGGUAGCCUAGUGGUUAAAGCAGGUAGCCUAGUGGUUAGAGCAGGUAGCCUAGUGGUUAGAGACAGGUAGUCUAGUGGUUAGAGCAGGUACGGCUAGUGGUUAAAGCAGGUAGCCUGGUGGUUAGAGCAGGUAGCCUAGUGGUCAGAGACAGGUAGCCUAGUGGUUAGAGCAGGUAGCCUGGUGGUUAGAGCAGGUAGCCUAGUGGUUAGAGCAGGUAGACUGGUGGUUAGAGCCAGGUAGCAUAGUGGUUAGAGCAGGUAGCCUAGUGGCUAGAGCAGGUAGCCUAGUGGUUAGAGCAGGUAGCCUGGUGGUUAGAGCAGGUAGCCUGGUGGUUAGAGCAGGUAGCCUAGUGGUUAGAGCCAGGUAGACUAGUGGUUAGAGCAGGUAGCCUAGUGGUUAGAGCAGGUAGUCUGGUGGUUGGAGCAGGUAGCAUGGUGGUUAGAGUGUUGGGCCAGUAACCAGCAGGUAGCCUAGAGGUUAGAGUGUUGGGCCAGUAACCAGCAGGUAGCCUUGUGGUUAGAGCAGGUAGCCUGGUGGUUAGAGUGUUGGGCCAGUAACCAGCAGGUAGCCUUGUGGUUAGAAUAGGUAGCCUGGUGGUUAGAGUGUUGGGCCAGUAACCAGCAGGUAGCCUUGUGGUUAGAGCAUGUAACCUGGUGGUCAGAGUGUUGGGCCAGUAACCAGCAGGUAGCCUCGUGGUUAGAGCAGGUAGCCUGGUGGUUAGAGUGUUGGGCCAGUAACCAGCAGGUAGCCUAGCGGUUAGAGUGUUGGACUAGUAACCAGCAGGUAGCCUAGUGGUUAGAGCAGGUAGCCUAGUGGUUAGAGUGUUGGACUAGUAAACAGCAGGUAGCCUAGUGG
This is a long non-coding RNA of Oncorhynchus keta (chum salmon), 1970 nucleotides long. RefSeq lists it as uncharacterized. The transcript has 3 exons. NCBI's taxonomy places the organism in Eukaryota, Metazoa, Chordata, Actinopteri, Salmoniformes, Salmonidae. The record is from RefSeq and is a predicted model, not a curated record.